UUAGACUUAUGCAUAAUAGUGUUUUUAAAGGUGUUUGAAUUAUUGAAGUGUGACAUAUUUUUUAUUUGUAAUUGUUAAUAAUCCCAUAGAUUAUCACCUUUAUAUGAUAUACAUAUGUACUGGUUCACAUCUGAAACAUCUUCUGGACCACUUCAGGAAGCAUAUUAUUAUUUACUUUAUACAUCAUUUGAACAGUUGUUUUUUCAAUACAAUUUUAAAAUGUGUAACUUUAUGAAUUAUUUGUUGGGUCUCUAUAGUCAAUUGUAUUAAUUGUCUUUAUUACACUCUGUAACUGUUGCUACUAGUAAUUAUUGUAAUUUGUUUUAUUUCUCUAAAAACAGAAUAAGUUAAGUUCAUAAAAGGGGAUUUAAAUAAAAAUGUAUACAAGUUCAUAAGAAGGCUUUAUUUAAGUUACUAUGGUUAAAAAUGUCAUUGCAUGCCUUUUUGUUGGGUUUGUGGGCAUGUGUUUGUUUUGAAGUGUCUCGAUUGGUCUGUGAAGGGAUAUAAGGAAGCUACUUCCGGGUAUGAGGAACAUCUGUUUGAUGCCAUGAGAAGGAAGAAAGAGAGCGACUGAUGGUUACAAGGACUAAAAAGUGUCACGAGGACUUUCAGCGUUUGGGCCACAAGAGCCAGAAGAUCACCAUUUCCUCCUAAAAGAAGCAUGCAGGCCAACGAGUUUUCACGGUGAAUUGAAGGGAAAGGAAGCCUUCAAUAAAUCAGUCAAAGAAA
This is a long non-coding RNA of Nerophis ophidion (straightnose pipefish), 729 nucleotides long. RefSeq lists it as uncharacterized. The record is from RefSeq and is a predicted model, not a curated record. NCBI's taxonomy places the organism in Eukaryota, Metazoa, Chordata, Actinopteri, Syngnathiformes, Syngnathidae. The transcript has 2 exons.